Molecule: ribosomal RNA, 272 nt
Filed under: uncultured bacterium
Lineage: Bacteria
Description: partial 16S ribosomal RNA
Source: RNAcentral
CUGCUGCCUCCCGUAGGAGUUUGGACCGUGUCUCAGUUCCAAUGUGGGGGACCUUCCUCUCAGAACCCCUACGCAUCGUCGGCUUGGUGGGCCGUUGCCCCACCAACUACCUAAUGCGCCGCAUGCCCAUCCGUGACCGGGGUCGCCCCUUUGGCCGGCAGGGGAUGUCCCCUCCCGGCAUUAUGUUGUAUUAGGCGGGAUUUCUCCCGGUUAUCCAUCUGUCACGGCCAGGUUGCAUACGUGUUACUCACCCGUGCGCCGGUCGCCGGCGG